GGGAUUGCAGCGGCAUCCUUUUUUUGCUUUCGCAAAUGGCAAAAAAAAGAUAUAGCGAAAAGCCCGACC
RNAcentral lists this small RNA (69 nucleotides) under uncultured Mesonia sp. RNAcentral describes it as "Flavo-1 RNA". It matches the Rfam family "Flavo-1 RNA", at positions 9 to 72 of the family's 76-position model. The record is from RNAcentral. Lineage: Bacteria; Pseudomonadati; Bacteroidota; Flavobacteriia; Flavobacteriales; Flavobacteriaceae.